CACCUCUUCCUUAAAUAUUUCUGAAACAGAAUCCCAAAAGGAACAAACCAUGGCAUCCUUCCAAAUUUAUUUCAUUUAUAAGCUUUCUUGUACUCCCCUUUGCCGUUAAAAGUCCCCAGAGUGGUGUUACAGCAAUACAGGUGUCAGGGGUUCAGGGAGAGAGGCACAGGGUAGGCAGGAGAUGGAGAGCGAUGGGGAGGAAUUCCAAGCCAGCGAGGAAGAGGAUGACAAUGACUCAAGAGAUUCCAUGAGUCUUUCCAGCGAAUCAGAGGAUUCCCAGAAGGGGCGCCGGUGGUCAAGGCCAGGGAGCCCCAGGGGGAAGUGUCAGGAGCAGGGUGCCAGCGGAGGAUCCCAAAGGGGCAGCUGGGCGUCAGGACCAGCCUCCCCACCUGAGUGCAGCGAAGGGGUGGAGUUUCCAGUGUGUCAGAGGAAGCAGCUCCAGCAGCAGAGAAAGGAGGGGGUCAGAGCAAGCCGCCCUCCCGGAAGGGAGGAGCAGUGAAGGGAGUAGUGUAACUGUCAAAAGGAAAGUUAGAGGUUUGGCGCGCGCGCCUAGUUCAAAUGUAGAGGCGCGCGGAAGUGCAGGGAGCCCGGAGGAGGGGCCAGGUCCCAAAGCCCGCAGGAGGGGGAAGAGCAGUCUGAUUCCGCGUCAGAGGAAUCCAGGAGGGCGAAACCCCAGUGGGCAGAAGGACCCUGCGGAAAAGGAAGUAGAGAAAGAGGUGGAGCAGCUCAAGUCUCUUAAAUUGGUGCAGUGGAAGGACUGACUCAGAGGGGACUUCAGCGGUCUAGCGUAAGAGACGUAAGGCUGCGCGCCUAGGAUGUCAAGCAAACCAUGAACUGCAAUAAACACCUUUGUAUAUAAGAAGACAUAGGCGUUGGUCUUUUGUGAGCUAAGACUUGAGGCAGCCUUGACAACAGGUUAUGCAGCAUCAUGUUAAAACAACAGCUUCGAUUCGCAAGGAGUUUAAUGAAUUGAAAAGUUCCCAUCCCCUCACAGGAUUAGCGUUGCCAGGGGUUGGACUAGAUGGCCCUUUGGGUCCCUUCCAUCUCUAUAAUUCUGUGAUUUCAGCCAUCUGCAUUUCAGCAGCCUGUUGGGAGCCCUCCUGAAUAAUGUCCUGAUUUACACGUAACACUAAACCAUGGUUUGCUUAAACCACAGUUUGUUUAAUAAGCAGCAAGCUGAAACAAGUUGUCUGACAGACGAGAGACAGCAACAAACCAUGGCUUCAGAGCAGAGUUUGUUGGCAAUAAACAAACCAUAGUUAAGUUGCUGGGCGGAUAAUACCAUCCGUGAAGUUUAUUAAAGCACUAAACCAGGUUUGAGGAAGCUUUGGCCUUCCAGAACGACUACUCCCAUCACCCCUGGCUUGCUGGGGCUUAUGGGAGUCAUAGUUCAGCAAAAUCUGUAAGGCUAAAGGUUUCCCAAACCUGUACUAAGCCAUGGUUUAAUAAACCAUGGUUGAACAGGCCAUGGUUUAGUGUUGACUGCUAACCAGGGUAAGAUGGGGCUGCUGCGAACUUCCUUGGCUUAGCAUUGUAAGCCCUACGAACACCUAUGCUGUUUGUCUCCACCAUCAGGUAUUCAAAGAUAAACUGCCUAUGCACAUGGAGGCUCCAUUUGCUAUCAUGGCUAAUAAACAGAAACCCCCUUAUGAAGAAAGGUUGCAGCAACUGGGACUCUCAACUGAGCAGAAAGGUGAGAGACAGGCGACAGGACUGAAGUUGACAAAAUGAUGCAUGGCAAGGAGAAAUUAGACUGAGAAAACUUCCCUUCUCUCUCUCAUUACACUAGAUCUUAGGGACAUCCAAAGAGGCUGAAUGUACCAUAUUUUUCACUCUAUAAGACGCACCAGACCACAAGACGCACCUAAUUUUUGGAGGAGGAAAACAGGAAAAAAAAU
Molecule: non-coding RNA, 1898 nt
Organism: Podarcis lilfordi (Lilford's wall lizard)
Lineage: Eukaryota; Metazoa; Chordata; Lepidosauria; Squamata; Lacertidae
Source: the annotation of a GenBank genome assembly